This 970-nucleotide long non-coding RNA is filed under the name Homo sapiens (human). RNAcentral describes it as "HSALNT0352182". Lineage: Eukaryota; Metazoa; Chordata; Mammalia; Primates; Hominidae. The record is from RNAcentral.
CAGAGUCAGGCUGCACAUUGGCUUGGAGGACAGGCCUUUCCUCUGGGACUGUGAGGCCCAGAGUGCCCACCCAGAACUCCACCUCUGACCUCACAAAGGCCUGCUUCAGAACUCGGUCUCCACGGCACUGCUGGCCAGAUGAGGGAUGUUAUUUUGGGCAGUGCAUCUGGACUUGGUUCAAGUGGCACCAGCCAAAUCCCUGCCUUACUGACCUCUCCCCUGGAGGAGCAGGAGCAGCACUCGAGGCCGCCCUGGGAGGGCUGAGAGGCAGGCUCUGGACUGGGGACACAGGGAUAGCUGAGCCCCAGCUGGGGGUGGAAGCUGAGACAGGGACAGUCACAGAGGAACAAGAUCAAGAUGCGCUUUAACUGAGAAGCCCCCAAGGCAGAGGCUGAGAAUCAGAAGACAUUUCAGCAGACAUCUACAAAUCUGAAGGACAAAACAUGGUUCAAGCAUCUGGGCACAGGCGUGGCCAUUCUCCACUUUUCGGGUGGAGAGCUGAUGGUGACCGGUCCCGUUGCUACAGCUGGCAUUUUUGCCACCUACCUUCCUGAUCACAUGACAUUGUGGCGGGGCUUCCUGAAUGAGAACAUACAUAUGAUAGUUGAAAAAGACACAUAUUCUGAUCAUGAAGAAAUAAACACAAGUUAAAUAUGACUAAGCAGAAAGAUGGAAGGACCAGGAACGGUGAUGCUAACUUGGAACCACGAUGCAGGCUCUAAACUCCUCUACAAUCAUCCUCCCUUGUGAGAAAAAUACAUAAUUCACUUUUAAAAUAAAUAGAAACCUGAACACACUUCUUAGCUGGUUUAAGUAUUUUAAAAACAUUGAUGAAUUAAACACAGAAAUAUGGGGAAAUCUCAUUACUUACCUUAAAUUUUGAAAUUUUCAUUACAGAUCAUGAGUUACUUAAUGCUUUUUCAUUCCUGAGUUUACAUUGUAAAUUAAAGUUAUGUCACCUUUAAAAAAU